Molecule: long non-coding RNA, 819 nt
Filed under: Panax ginseng (ginseng)
Lineage: Eukaryota; Viridiplantae; Streptophyta; Magnoliopsida; Apiales; Araliaceae
Description: long non-coding RNA (PGIN_LNC003834)
Source: RNAcentral
UUGUCUCUGUCUCUGUUCGUUCGAAAGCAAGAGUUUCCCCCUCAACUAUGUUUCAAUCCUUUUUCAAAAUUGAUCUAAUUAGAGAAGUUCUCAUUCGAUGCUGAAAGUUGACUUCGAAAGAAAGGACUAUUAUGACCUCACUUUGAUGGGCGAGAACUAUAUCUAUGCAAUUCCUCAGAUCCAACGCACUCAGCAGCCUUUCCGCUAUCAGAACAAUUCACUCCAGAUGGACGCUGAGUACGCUUUUGCGCAACCCAAGAACUAAAAGAACUAAAGAAUUCACACUCCACCGACCUGGAGCAGCUAUGAACAAACGAGGGGUGGUCAGCUCGGCGAAGCGAAGGGCCUUAAAAUCUUAGAGAAAGAACGGAAGGGAAAUUGUGUAUGGCACACCCAGUCAGUUCCCUGUGAGACUAUAGGCUUCAGACGGAUUCCCAGCCAGCCCGUCUUAGCGCGACAACGCGCUCUUUGCGUGCACUAGCCAAUUUUCGAGACAGACAGCGCGCCACCUUACAUAAGUAAGAUUCCGUCUUCCAAAAACUCCCUUCCCAUCCCCGGAGGGCCGACAAAGGCAAGCACAAAUUCCUAAGCGAUAGCUCGAGCUAUUGCUUACUCUCCAGUAGCAUAUACCCCAUAUCUGAUGUUUCAUCAGGAUAUCUGUUGGUGAAUCAUCAACUUGAGAAUCAGAUGUUAUAAAAGAAAUCCUCUCUUGCUUCAUUAUCCGUUUUUGACUCGUAUGUAGGCCGGUCGUCCAUCAGUUGUCGAACCAUCUGGUGGAGAGUUUGUUGCUCUAGGCCCUCCUUACUUGGCUUUUNNNNN